Molecule: non-coding RNA, 76 nt
Organism: Phthorimaea operculella (potato tuberworm)
Lineage: Eukaryota; Metazoa; Arthropoda; Insecta; Lepidoptera; Gelechiidae
Source: the annotation of a GenBank genome assembly
GCCGCUGUAGCCCUGUUGGUAGAGGCGUCGCCAGUACAGAUAGCGAAAGUCGCUGGUUCAAAUCCAGCCGGCGGUG